This 367-nucleotide ribosomal RNA is filed under the name uncultured bacterium. Its description in RNAcentral is "bacterial SSU rRNA". It matches the Rfam family "Bacterial small subunit ribosomal RNA", at positions 29 to 409 of the family's 1533-position model. The record is from RNAcentral.
AACGAACGCUGGCGGCAGGCCUAACACAUGCAAGUCGAACGCCGUAGCGAUACGGAGUGGCAGACGGGUGAGUAACGCGUGGGAACAUACCCCUCGGUUCGGAAUAACUCAGGGAAACUUGAGCUAAUACCGGAUAAGUCCGAGGUUUUAAUCGACCUUGGAGAAAGAUUUAUCGCCGGAGGAUUGGCCCGCGUCUGAUUAGCUUGUUGGUGAGGUAAUGGCUCACCAAGGCGACGANCAGUAGCUGGUCUGAGAGGAUGAUCAGCCACAUUGGGACUGAGACACGGCCCAAACUCCUACGGGAGGCAGCAGUGGGGAAUAUUGGACAAUGGGCGAAAGCCUGAUCCAGCCAUGCCGCGUGAGUGAU